UUUAGGGAGACCUACCCGCUGAUUACACCGAACUAGAUUUAUUGAGGUGAAUCAGUUGGUCAACCUAGGUCGAACGAGUAUUUGAGUACGAAGCUUUCAAACUAUUGUCUAGGUUUAUUUCUUUUUCUUUUUCUUCUUUAUUUUUGAUGUGUAUUCAGCACCUUAUCUAGAAGAGAAUCUAGAGAGACUGCUGAGUUAGCACUCAGUAAGAACCUUGAAAAUUGCAUAGUAAGAGCAGAAAGGUAGGUAGGUUUAUCUAUUGAUUGAAGAGAGUCAAUUCUUUGAUUUGAUUCGAUUGAGAAGAUAAAGCAAUCCAAGAGAGCCGAGAAAUAGAUUGAUUAAGA
This 344-nucleotide unclassified non-coding RNA is filed under the name Leptolyngbya sp. WJT43-NPBG6. RNAcentral describes it as "16S-23S ribosomal RNA intergenic spacer". The record is from RNAcentral. Lineage: Bacteria; Bacillati; Cyanobacteriota; Cyanophyceae; Leptolyngbyales; Leptolyngbyaceae.